RNAcentral lists this unclassified non-coding RNA (1199 nucleotides) under Hevea brasiliensis (rubber tree). The record is from RNAcentral. Lineage: Eukaryota; Viridiplantae; Streptophyta; Magnoliopsida; Malpighiales; Euphorbiaceae.
CUGCUACUCUGGUUCUCUAUUGCAACGCUUGCGUAAAAAAAAAAAGGGAUCUGCAACACUUUUAUAAGCCUUUGAUGGCCUCACCUAGGCUCCCCUGGCACCUUGUUGCGCCUAGUGGCACCUGAGGAGGUCGCUUGCCUUUCCUUGCUUGAAGCAAUGACCCUUGCGCCCGUUGUGCCUCGCGCCUCAGGUGCGCCUUUGAUAACAAUGCCUUCAAGUACUCUCUCCUACUUGUAAAAUUUGUUUGGUGGUUUGAUAAUCGUAAACUAAGUCAGGAGGACAAUAUACAAUAAACUAAGUCAGGAGGUCAAUAUACAACACUGCAAUUGUUCCUUGUAGUUAUCAAUUUUAGCUUGUAGUCUUUAAAUUUCAUUCCACAUAGAGUCUCGCUAAAAACACAAUUCAAAACUUUUACCUGCCUUAAAUAUUUGUUUCUGUCUAAAAUGGAUUGUCAAAAUUGGAAUCAUGAUGUUGAAAUUAGCUCAUAAGAUCAAAAUAGAAUAGAUGAAAUGGAGGAGUACGAUGGGUGUGCUAUGUGAUAUUAGGAUUGUUGACAAAGUGAAAGGUAAGUUCUAUAGGAAUGACCAUGGCAGACAGCGAGACAUAGACAAGGUACAUACAGUGAAAUCUUUGAGUGUUGGUCGAGUUGUGAUUUGGGUUGAAAGUUUUCAAGCAACUUGUAAUUCGAAUUUACGCUAGGGGAGUCGCUUGGUCACAGGAAGGGGCUUGGUGGUUGUGGUGUGGUGGUUUGGUUACUAAGCAGUGGUGGUAUAGUGAAGGACAGUGGUUGGGCUUGUUGUGAGGCUCAAUUUUGCGAUGGCAGUGGGGACAAGGGUAAAAUUAAGGGAAGAAAAUUUCUCGAUAGAAGCUAAAACUCAAAUUAGCUUCUAAUUGCUCAUAUGCAACAAAUCAAAUUGACUAUGAUACCAAAUGAUGAAAAACCACAAAGAACUCUCAAGUGGGAUGAGAAACAAUUCUCAAAUUUGUAUUAAUUCUUGAAAUCAAUUCUUAUACUUUCUAUAAUAAGUCUAAUAAAAUAUCUAAAUGACAUAAGUAUUUAUAGUAUAAUAUUAAUCCUACUACUACUAGGAUUAAGAAUUUUAAAAUAAGAAAAUAUUAAUCCAAUCUAACAAGGAAUAUAUAACCAACACUAAUUAGGAAAUUCUAAACAAUAAAAUUCCCAAAUAACUAAAAUACUA